RNAcentral lists this ribosomal RNA (253 nucleotides) under uncultured bacterium. RNAcentral's name for it is "partial 16S ribosomal RNA". It matches the Rfam family "Bacterial small subunit ribosomal RNA", at positions 524 to 776 of the family's 1533-position model. The record is from RNAcentral.
UACGUAGGGGGCUAGCGUUGUCCGGAUUUAUUGGGCGUAAAGAGCGUGUAGGCGGCCAGGUAGGUCUGCUGUGAAAACUCGAGGCUCAACCUCGAGACGUCGGCGGAAACCAUCUGGCUAGAGUCCGGAAGAGGAGAGUGGAAUUCCUGGUGUAGCGGUGAAAUGCGUAGAUAUCUGGAGGAACACCGGUGGCGAAGGCGGCAUCCUGGACCAACACUGACGCUGAGGAGCGAAAGCCAGGGGAGCAAACGGG